Molecule: transfer RNA, 63 nt
Filed under: Andrena angustior
Lineage: Eukaryota; Metazoa; Arthropoda; Insecta; Hymenoptera; Andrenidae
Also listed under: 1 other name
Description: tRNA-Ile
Source: RNAcentral
AGUAAUAUGCCUGAUAAAAGGAUUAUUUUGAUGAAAUACUUAUGUAAAAUUUUACUAUUACUA